UAACGUGAGCGUCCUAAGGUAGCGCGAUAAUUUGCUUUUCAAUUGAAGGAUGGUAUGAAAGGGUUAACGAAGAAGGUGCUGUGUCUAAAAAUUCAAUUUAAACUAACUUUAAGGUGAAGAGGCCUUUAUGUAAAAGAAGGACGACAAGACCCUAUGAAGCUUUAUCUUAAUUGGAGCUCUCAGGCUCUUAUACGAUUUUGAUGGGAGAUCAGUAGAAAUAAGUCUUCUACUAUCAUAUUAAUCUUACUAGUAUUUCCUAACUUUAUAUGUGUGGCUAGCUACUCUAGGGAUAACAGCGCAAUUUCUCCCGAAAGAUGGUAUUGGAGGGGAAGAUUGCGACCUCGAUGUUGGCUUUAGAUAUCCUAGAGGCGUAGAAGCUUCU
RNAcentral lists this ribosomal RNA (382 nucleotides) under Mytilus galloprovincialis (Mediterranean mussel). RNAcentral's name for it is "partial 16S ribosomal RNA". It matches the Rfam family "Bacterial large subunit ribosomal RNA", at positions 1937 to 2566 of the family's 2925-position model. The record is from RNAcentral. Lineage: Eukaryota; Metazoa; Mollusca; Bivalvia; Mytilida; Mytilidae.